This 207-nucleotide long non-coding RNA is filed under the name Lathyrus oleraceus (garden pea). Its description in RNAcentral is "Pisum sativum (pea) long non-coding RNA (PSAT_LNC000614)". Lineage: Eukaryota; Viridiplantae; Streptophyta; Magnoliopsida; Fabales; Fabaceae. The record is from RNAcentral.
UUAAUUAAUAAUUAAAAUAAUAUAUAAAAAAUUAAAAAGACAUUUGAAAAUGUUGAUGCAACAUAUAUUACCCCUCGAUAGAUAAAUAUGACUUAGGAUAAUACAAAUUAAAAAUAAAUAAAAAAGGGAAAGUCACCAUGUGACCCUAAAUCAAUUAAAAAUAAAAAUGAAAUAUAAAAUGCAGUAAUUGGGAUUCGAAGUGAGCAC